RNAcentral lists this ribosomal RNA (254 nucleotides) under uncultured bacterium. Its description in RNAcentral is "partial 16S ribosomal RNA". It matches the Rfam family "Bacterial small subunit ribosomal RNA", at positions 524 to 776 of the family's 1533-position model. The record is from RNAcentral.
UACGAAGGGGGCUAGCGUUGUUCGGAAUUACUGGGCGUAAAGCGAACGUAGGCGGUGUUCCAUGUCAGAGGUGAAAGCCUGGGGCUCAACUCCAGAAUUGCCUUUGAAACGGGGACGCUUGAGUCCGAGAGAGGAUGGCGGAAUUCCGUAGUGUAGAGGUGAAAUUCGUAGAUAUUAGGAAGAACACCGGUGGCGAAGGCGGCCAUCUGGCUCGGUACUGACGCUCAGGUUCGAAAGCGUGGGGAGCAAACAGG